AUCUAUCUUCGGGGCAGGGUGAAAUUCCCGAUCGGCGGUAUUUGAGUGAAACUCAUAAGCCCGCGAGCCGUUUUGGCAGGAUUUGGUGUGAUUCCAAAGCCGACAGUAUAGUCUGGAUGGGAGAAGAUGGAG
This 132-nucleotide non-coding RNA is filed under the name Bacillus sp. (in: firmicutes). Its description in RNAcentral is "Bacillus sp. FMN sequence". It matches the Rfam family "FMN riboswitch aptamer (RFN element)". Rfam says of the family: The RFN element is a highly conserved domain that is found frequently in the 5'-untranslated regions of prokaryotic mRNAs that encode for flavin mononucleotide (FMN) biosynthesis and transport proteins. This element is a metabolite-dependent riboswitch that directly binds FMN in the absence of proteins. Lineage: Bacteria; Bacillati; Bacillota; Bacilli; Caryophanales; Bacillaceae. The record is from RNAcentral.